This 76-nucleotide transfer RNA is filed under the name Desulfonatronum sp. Its description in RNAcentral is "tRNA-Lys". It matches the Rfam family "tRNA". From Rfam's summary of the family: Transfer RNA (tRNA) molecules are approximately 80 nucleotides in length. Their secondary structure includes four short double-helical elements and three loops (D, anti-codon, and T loops). The record is from RNAcentral. Lineage: Bacteria; Pseudomonadati; Thermodesulfobacteriota; Desulfovibrionia; Desulfovibrionales; Desulfonatronaceae.
GGGCCGUUAACUCAGUAGGUAGAGUAUCUGCCUUUUAAGCAGAGAGUCGAAGGUUCGAGUCCUUCACGGCCCACCA